AUUGAACGCUGGCGGCAGGCCUAACACAUGCAAGUCGAGCGGAGCGGCGGACGGGCGAGUAAUGCAUAGGAAUCUGCCUGGCAGCUGGGGAUAACGAACGGCAAGGAGCGCUAACAACGCAUACUAUCAGACGAGCCUAGGCUGGAUGAGUUAGUUGGUGGGUUAAAGGCCUACCAAGGCGACGAACCGUAGCUGGUCUGAGAGGAUGAUCAGUCACACUGGAACUGAGACACGGUCCAGACUCCUACGGGAGGCAGCAGUGGGGAAUAUUGCACAAUGGGCGCAAGCCUGAUGCAGCCAUGCCGCGUGUGUGAAGAAGGUCUUCGGGUUGUAAAGCACUUUCAGUUGGGAGGCGUUACCAACAGAAGAAGCACCGGCUAACUCCGUGCCAGCAGCCGCGGUAAUAC
RNAcentral lists this ribosomal RNA (407 nucleotides) under uncultured bacterium. RNAcentral describes it as "partial 16S ribosomal RNA". It matches the Rfam family "Bacterial small subunit ribosomal RNA", at positions 30 to 526 of the family's 1533-position model. The record is from RNAcentral.